UAGUCGUAACAAGGUUCCGUAGGUGCAACCUGCGGAAGGAUCAUUA
Molecule: ribosomal RNA, 46 nt
Filed under: Inocybe geophylla
Lineage: Eukaryota; Fungi; Basidiomycota; Agaricomycetes; Agaricales; Inocybaceae
Description: partial 18S ribosomal RNA
Source: RNAcentral